AUUGAACGCUGGCGGCAUGCCUUACACAUGCAAGUCGAACGGCAGCACGGGGGCAACCCUGGUGGCGAGUGGCGAACGGGUGAGUAAUACAUCGGAACGUGUCCUGUAGCGGGGGAUAACCUCUCGAAAGAGAGGCUAAUACCGCAUACGACCUACGGGUGAAAGAGGGGGAUCGCAAGACCUCUCACUAUAGGAGCGGCCGAUGUCGGAUUAGCUAGUUGGUGGGGUAAAAGCCACCAAGGCUACGAUCCGUAGCUGGUCUGAGAGGACGACCAGCCACACUGGAACUGAGACACGGUCCAGACUCCUACGGGAGGCAGCAGGUGGGGUAAUUUUGGACAAGUGGGCGCAAGCCUGACUCCAGCCAUCGCCGCGUGAGUGAAGAA
This 386-nucleotide ribosomal RNA is filed under the name uncultured bacterium. RNAcentral describes it as "bacterial SSU rRNA". It matches the Rfam family "Bacterial small subunit ribosomal RNA", at positions 30 to 412 of the family's 1533-position model. The record is from RNAcentral.